UACGGAGGGUGCAAACGUUGCUCGGAAUUACUGGGCGUAAAGCGAGCGUAGGCGGCGACGUAAGUCGGGUGUGAAAGCCCUCGGCUCAACCGAGGAAGUGCAUUCGAAACUGCGUUGCUAGAGUACCGGAGGGGAUGACGGAAUUCCCGGUGUAGAGGUGAAAUUCGUAGAUAUCGGGAGGAACACCUGUGGCGAAGGCGGUCAUCUGGACGGAUACUGACGCUGAGGCUCGAAAGCGUGGGGAGCAAACAGG
This 253-nucleotide ribosomal RNA is filed under the name uncultured bacterium. RNAcentral's name for it is "partial 16S ribosomal RNA". It matches the Rfam family "Bacterial small subunit ribosomal RNA", at positions 524 to 776 of the family's 1533-position model. The record is from RNAcentral.